UUAACUUGUUAAAUCAUAAAAAAUUCUUUCCAAAAAAGUAUACUGGAAACAUGUGGAUGUGAGGUUAUAAUUAAAAAGGAAAGCAAAACAGCCUUCCCCCAAAACAGAGAAAUCCUCACUUCAAAGCUACAGCUGAGCUGAUGAGAGUAAAAUGGGGGCAUGCUAAAAAGUCUUGGAAUGUGAACACUAUCACUGACCAUCUGG
Molecule: unclassified non-coding RNA, 204 nt
Organism: Mesocricetus auratus (golden hamster)
Lineage: Eukaryota; Metazoa; Chordata; Mammalia; Rodentia; Cricetidae
Source: Ensembl